This 425-nucleotide ribosomal RNA is filed under the name uncultured bacterium. RNAcentral's name for it is "bacterial SSU rRNA". It matches the Rfam family "Bacterial small subunit ribosomal RNA", at positions 356 to 773 of the family's 1533-position model. The record is from RNAcentral.
UAAGAAUCUUCCGCAAUGGGCGAAAGCCUGACGGAGCGACGCCGCGUGGACGAUGAAGGCCGGAAGGUUGUAAAGUCCUUUUCUCCGUGAAGAAUAAGGGUGCGAGGAAAUGCGCGCCUGAUGACGUUAUCGGAGGAAUAAGCCCCGGCUAAUUACGUGCCAGCAGCCGCGGUAAUACGUAAGGGGCGAGCGUUGUUCGGAAUUAUUGGGUGUAAAGGGCGCGUAGGCGGCGCUGCAAGUCCGGUGUUUAAGGCGACGGCUCAACCGUCGUUAUGCGCUGGAAACUGUGGUGCUGGAGUCUAGGAGGGGGAGCCGGAACUCCAGGUGUAGGGGUGAAAUCUGUAGAUAUCUGGAGGAACAUCGGUGGCGAAGGCGGGCUCCUAGCCAUAGACUGACGCUGAGGCGCGAAAGCGUGGGGAGCAAAC